UACGAAGGGGGCUAGCGUUGUUCGGAAUUACUGGGCGUAAAGCGCACGUAGGCGGAUUGUUAAGUCAGAGGCGAAAUCCCGGAGCUCAACUUCGGAACUGCCUUUGAUACUGGCAAUCUAGAGUCCGGAAGAGGUUAGUGGAAUUCCCAGUGUAGAGGUGAAAUUCGUAGAUAUUGGGAAGAACACCAGUGGCGAAGGCGGCUAACUGGUCCGGUACUGACGCUGAGGUGCGAAAGCGUGGGGAGCAAACAGG
This 253-nucleotide ribosomal RNA is filed under the name uncultured bacterium. RNAcentral's name for it is "partial 16S ribosomal RNA". It matches the Rfam family "Bacterial small subunit ribosomal RNA", at positions 524 to 776 of the family's 1533-position model. The record is from RNAcentral.